CAAUACGGUCCUUCUCUAAUACAAUACUCUUAAUCACAUUGUUUGAGUGAUAGUUUGUUUCAUGUCAACUAUCCAAUGUGAUACAUAUCUAUAUGAUUCCCUUGAAUAUGAUUUGGAACAAACUUCCUAAGUCAUAUUCAUAUGCUUUGGCCAAAGACUUUAGAAUCAUAUCUUAGAGUACACUCCUUCCACCAUGGAAGGUUAGAGAUCCCUUGUUGUGCAUUCAUAUGCCUACAUGACUAGAUAGCUUGACCC
Molecule: long non-coding RNA, 255 nt
Filed under: Malus domestica (apple)
Lineage: Eukaryota; Viridiplantae; Streptophyta; Magnoliopsida; Rosales; Rosaceae
Description: long non-coding RNA (MDOM_LNC019908)
Source: RNAcentral